RNAcentral lists this ribosomal RNA (468 nucleotides) under uncultured bacterium. Its description in RNAcentral is "partial 16S ribosomal RNA". It matches the Rfam family "Bacterial small subunit ribosomal RNA", at positions 28 to 507 of the family's 1533-position model. The record is from RNAcentral.
GACGAACGCUGGCGGCGUGCUUAACACAUGCAAGUCGAACGGAAAGGCCCUGCUUUUGUGGGCUGCUCGAGUGGCGAACGGGUGCGUAACACGUGAGUAACCUGCCCUUGACUUUGGGAUAACUUCAGGAAACUGGGGCUAAUACCGGAUAGGAGCCCCUGCUGCAUGGUGGGGGUUGGAAAGUUUCGGCGGUUGGGGAUGGACUCGCGGCUUAUCAGCUUGUUGGUGGGGUAGUGGCUUACCAAGGCUUUGACGGGUAGCCGACAUGAGAGGGUGACCGGCGACAAUAGGACUAAGAGAGGGCCCAGACGCCUACGGGGGGCAGCAGUGGGAAGUAUUACACAGUAGGCGAAAGCCUGAUACAGCAACGCCGCGGGCGGGAUGACGGCCUUCGGGUUGUAAACCGCUUUCGCCUGUGACGAAGCGUGAGUGACGGUAAUGGGUAAAGAAGCACCGGCUAACUACGUG